AUACUUACCUGGCAGGGGAGAGACCAGGUUACGAAGGUGGUUUUCCCAGGGCGAGGCUUAUCCGUUGCACCCGGGAUGUGCCGACCCCUGCGAUUUCCCCAAAUGUGGGAAACUUGACUGCAUAAUUUGAA
Molecule: small nuclear RNA, 131 nt
Filed under: Myotis davidii
Lineage: Eukaryota; Metazoa; Chordata; Mammalia; Chiroptera; Vespertilionidae
Description: U1 spliceosomal RNA
Rfam family: U1 spliceosomal RNA
About the family: U1 is a small nuclear RNA (snRNA) component of the spliceosome (involved in pre-mRNA splicing). Its 5' end forms complementary base pairs with the 5' splice junction, thus defining the 5' donor site of an intron.
Source: Rfam by way of RNAcentral